RNA transcript from Cydia fagiglandana, 2249 nucleotides. It is a transcript of the gene named tropomyosin-1, with no coding region annotated. The record is from RefSeq and is a predicted model, not a curated record. Lineage: Eukaryota; Metazoa; Arthropoda; Insecta; Lepidoptera; Tortricidae. The transcript has 9 exons.
AAUAGUUUUAUAGCUGAAAAGGCGCGCGAGAGCGUGACGGGCAGCAGAGUCUCUCGCUAUCGGAUCCUGGAUUUUUGGCACCGAAAAUAGCAGGGCGGGCGCUCGGUGUGCGGCGCUCGCGCAGUGCGUGUCGCUCCGCCGUGUGAACAGCCCGCUCGUGAGGCCCAUUGGCGUAUUUUCUGUAGAAAAAGCAAACACACAAAGCCGCCACCAUGGACGCGAUCAAGAAGAAGAUGCAGGCGAUGAAGCUGGAGAAGGACAACGCCAUGGACAAGGCGGACACCUGCGAGCAGCAGGCCAGGGACGCCAACCUCCGCGCCGAGAAGGUGAAUGAGGAAGUCCGUGAGCUCCAGAAGAAGCUGUUGCAGGUGGAGGAGAUCCUCACCCAGAGCAAGAACCAGCUGGAGACCGCCACCAAGACCCUCGAGGAGAAGGAGAAGACCCUCACCACCACCGAGGCUGAGGUCGCCUCCCUCAACAGGAAGGUGCAGCAGAUUGAAGAGGACCUGGAGAAGUCCGAGGAGAGGUCCGGCACUGCCCAGCAGAAGCUGCUCGAGGCCCAGCAGUCCGCUGACGAGAACAACCGUAUGUGCAAGGUGUUGGAGAACAGGGCCUCGCAAGACGAGGAGCGUAUGGAUCAGCUCACCAACCAGCUCAAGGAGGCACGUCUGCUCGCUGAAGACGCCGAUGGCAAGUCCGACGAGGUGUCCCGCAAGCUGGCCUUCGUUGAAGACGAGCUGGAGGUCGCUGAGGACCGCGUCAAGUCCGGAGACUCCAAGAUCGGCGAGCUUGAGGAGGAGUUGAAGGUCGUAGGUAACUCCCUGAAGUCCCUGGAGGUGUCCGAGGAGAAGGCCAACCAGCGCGUGGAAGAGUUCAAGAAGCAGCUGAAGACCCUCACGAGCAAGCUGAAGGAGGCGGAGGCCCGCGCCGAGUACGCCGAGAAGACCGUCAAGAAACUGCAGAAGGAGGUCGACAGGCUCGAAGACUCAUUGUGGAAAGAGAAGGAGAAAUACAAGGCGAUAUGCGAUGACUUGGACGGAACAUUCGCUGAACUCACAGGAUACUAACCGCCCUAGCUUAGUUUAAGACAAUACCGUCCAACACAAGUUAUCCGUAGAGUCCAUUUUGUACCAUCGCCUACACUAUUAACUGCACAUCGGACCUUAUGCCUUUUGUAAUAAGGGCCACCGAUGUACAGUUAGAAGUGUUUGUACGCCCUUCGAGGAGUUUAGACUCCUCGCCUACGCGUGUUUACGUGUAGCUGAUGAGAGAAUCAGCGCAGCCAUUUCCGUUUUAAUUUUCUUUCACGCUAAUCCCCUGUUCUUUAGAGGAUUGUUGACAGAGUCAGAAUACAUUUUUACACGAGAAAAAGUAACGAGCGCAUUUAAUGUUUCUCCGUAAAGGACUAAAAUUUAAUUGGAAUUCACAUUUAACUGUUUUUGAGUUGGUUGUGGUCAGCCGCGACCACGACCAGUGAAACCUGUGUCGAAACGUCGGUAAAUCAAGGUAAUUGAAUAAAAUUCGCGAUAGACCCGUCUAUAAAUGUGAGUUAAUAUGUGUUCAAAACGCGAAAGUUUAAAAUAUUUUGAUAUUAACUUAAAGUGUAAAGACGUGUUCUUUUAUACUCAUUUAGCUGAACGUCUAGCAAAUUUUGUCUAUGUCGAGUAGUUUAGCUUUUAAACAGAAAAUUAAAAAAUUGACGGCUUUUGGAGCAAUUUUUGACAAGGCAUUUAGGUAAAGCUUGCAAAUCCUUGUCACGAAGGUUCUAAAUGACGACGGUGGUUUUUGCAUACAUGCAAAAGCUGUUUUAAUGCAUGGAAAUAAAGUUUAAAUUCCGAGCAUGCUAGCUGACGUUCAGGCAAUCCUGUAUAGAUCGCAUAGAUUUAAGGCCCCGAUUUUCGUGUUGUGACUAACAUGUCUUACGCUUUGCUGCUACCGGCGGACAAUGCUUUCAAGACGAGCUGGGUAUCAACAAGGACAGAUACAAGUCUCUGGCUGACGAGAUGGACUCCACCUUCGCCGAGCUGGCUGGAUAUUAAAAAAAAAGCUCCCGCGCACUCCAAUACAAACCCACGAGCCAUCUCUUUCUAUCACACUCGUGCGACAGAGAGAGACUCUUGCGUUUGUCUAUGUAACAAUUCAUACUGCUGCCUGCAGAAAUGAACAUCGACUAUCGUGAUGUAAUAAUAACUAUUUAUUAUUUUAUGUAAAUUUAUUUACGAUUUUCAAUAAAAUUAAUUUAUAACAUC